RNAcentral lists this ribosomal RNA (253 nucleotides) under uncultured bacterium. RNAcentral's name for it is "partial 16S ribosomal RNA". It matches the Rfam family "Bacterial small subunit ribosomal RNA", at positions 524 to 776 of the family's 1533-position model. The record is from RNAcentral.
UACGGAGGGUGCAAGCGUUAAUCGGAAUUACUGGGCGUAAAGCGUGCGCAGGCGGUUAUGUAAGACAGUUGUGAGAUCCCCGGGCUCAACCUGGGAACUGCAUCUGUGACUGCAUAGCUAGAGUACGGUAGAGGGGGAUGGAAUUCCGCGUGUAGCAGUGAAAUGCGUAGAUAUGCGGAGGAACACCGAUGGCGAAGGCAAUCCCCUGGACCUGUACUGACGCUCAUGCACGAAAGCGUGGGGAGCAAACAGG